UGGUCUCGUCCGCCUCCGCCGCCUUCCUGCCAGUCUACCACUUUCUCACCCAGGGAGGCCUAGAACGCGAGCCACAUUCGCCCCCGGCCCUGACCCCAGGCGCGACUGCAGAGCCUCCCGAGCGGGACCGGUCUUCCGAGUGGACGGUUAGGCCACGGGUAUUCAAGCGCUGCGAGUUCGCCAGCCUUAUUGUAGCGGCCAGGCCUGAAGGGCUAGGCCACCGCUGAACUACAUUUCCCAGCAGGCAACGCGGCCGCAGUUUCGCUUCCAAAGGGAGGAAGCUAUUCCCCAUGUCAUGAAGACCCCAUGGAGACAGCCAUGUGUUGAGGAACACAGCGUCCUGCCAGCAGCCAGCACCCACUUGCCAGCCUCUCCAUGGAUUUCUCACUCCGCAUGGUAGAUAGAAGUACUGACUUUAAUUAUCACCAUCCAGGAAGUACUUUUCACCUGAGGAGAUGCUCAGUCAACCUAGCAAAGUGAAAGUGGGAGGAGCAGAGAAGGAAGAAGGAGAGGAGGAGGCAGCAGCUAAGAAGAGUGCAGAGAGAGGGAGAGUUGGAGCACAGUCAUGGAGGCAUUUGUUGAAAUGGAGGUGCCAAAAGAUUGAAGAGAUGUGGAUUGCUGACCCACUGCAUGAAGGUGGUUGCCCUACAGAGUCACCUGGACCUGCACUGACUUGGUAUAAAGCCCUUCAUCACCUACUGCUCUCAAAUCCCAAGGAUCGACAGGCCGUGUCUUCGUAUCUAAGUUUGGAAAGAACCCAGCUCUAUGAGGUUUGAUCUGUUUUGUUUGUGGAUGAGGAAGCAAGCACAAGGAGUAAAGUGGCCAAGGUGACAUGACCAUGAAUUAUCAGAAUCCAG
This 857-nucleotide long non-coding RNA is filed under the name Homo sapiens (human). Its description in RNAcentral is "long non-coding RNA NONHSAT186284.1". Lineage: Eukaryota; Metazoa; Chordata; Mammalia; Primates; Hominidae. The record is from RNAcentral.